Molecule: long non-coding RNA, 2597 nt
Organism: Equus asinus (donkey)
Lineage: Eukaryota; Metazoa; Chordata; Mammalia; Perissodactyla; Equidae
Source: Ensembl
AGAAUUGUUAACUAGGUAUAACAAUAUAAAGAAGAGGAUUAAGGCAAGAAGAGAAUACUAAGGUAUCAAGGAGGUAGGAAUUACAAAAAAAGCCGCCCUCUCCGGGGCUGGGGGAACAAGUGAAGAGGUUGAAAUUAUUAAAAUUUAGAAGAAACUUAGAGGAGGGAACUUACAGCAUUGAAACUCAGACCCCUGAGGAGCGGAAUUUUGUUCAGCUGGUGCUGUAAGCUUGGAGGAGCAUCCCCAUGUGGCUGGGACCAGACCUCCGAGGAGGGAGCACUGAUUGGUUAGUGGUGGUUCUCUGAAUGUGGAACACUCAGGCUGACUCUUUAAAUGUUGGAAAAACUGCACACUGGAUUUAGCUACUGCAAAGUUUAAGCAAGGAUGCUGUAGGUGUAAAAAGUUGUCAGGGGUAAUUUUGACCGGAAGGGGAGGCAGAGAGGGAGGAGCAAGUCCCUUUUUCCUCUUUCAGCCUUUCUCUCCCCUUCAAGUACCCCUUAUUGCCAGAGGCUAACCAGGUGCCAGAUGGUGAAUUGGAAAUACUGUGUGCAAUUUCAGCACCAGAAUCGCAGAGUUUACAAGGAUGGGAUUGGAGUGGAAAGACGACCCAAAGUGGCAGGGCAACUGUGAUGAAAUGCGAAGUCUGAACAUCUUUUCUAGCCAUCUUCCUAGUCUCCUCUUUUGGUGAAUUUCAUUCAGUGACUGGCCAGAAGGACCCAGACUAACACUUCCUGAGGACUUAUCCUGUGCCAGAACGUGUACUGAGUAGGUGCUUUGUAUUUGUCAUCACAUCUAAUCCUCACAAGAACCCCAUGAGGCUACAAUGAGGAGUUGCUCCAGCAGCUACAGCUGUAGGAAGAUUAGCCCUGAACUAACAUCUGCCACCAAUCCUCCUCUUCAUUGCCAAGGAAGACUGGCGCUAUCUUGACCGAACCCCAGGCUGCUGAAGUGGAAUAUGCUAACUGAACUGCUGUGCCACCGGGCCAGCCCCUUCCUUCUGUUUUUUGAAUGUUCUUGGACACCUAUUCUUUCUAAGCAAUAGAAAUUGCCAUGAAUACCUAAAAUCUCUCCACAUUGCUCUUCAAAUAUGACUACUCAUUGGUGCUCUCUAGAGAAGAUAAGAGAAACAUCUCUUUUUCAUCCUCAUCCCAACUCAAGUCUGAGCUAAGUCAUAUCCUGAACUCAAGGAGACCUCAUUGCUUUAACCUCAGGCCUCUCCACAGAGUUUCUCCUCUAAAACACAGAGAAAACUGCAAGCCCCUUCAUCAAGGAAAAGUCUUUUAUAGACUUCUCUGGUAAAGUCAGUCCUGGAGCCAUGUGACUAGAUGCUCUGACCUGUUUUUCUGCAACCACACAAACAACCACAUCCUAACUUGCAUGAGAUAGAGGCUCAAAAAUUGCUUUUCUUAUUAGAGAUGACUCCAGGUUUUAGCUACUCUUUGCACAUCUUGUGUACUACUUGUUCCCUAGGUUCCACUAGCCUUAGUGACGAGUGUGGGGAAAGUGGCAAUUAUCAAGUUUCUUGACACUGAAUCACCCUCCAAUCAUGUUCCUGGGUCAUUAUACCUUCCAGGUCCUUCUAUUUUCCUUAUGAAUUCUGAAUGACUCAAGUAGUUUCCUCUGUGACUUUUGCUGCCUUCUUUGUUGUGACAACCACUGUAUCUGAGAAAAAUGCUCAAAGCAAGUUGUCAGAAAUCCCAUCUCUAUUUUAAAUGAUGUUAAAAUGAAACUCUUCUUUCUUCCAUUUUGAAUGAGCCAUCAAUAUGAGAAAUAUUAGAUAAUAAAAAGGGCAUGACACAGAUCCUCUCAUAAGAAGAAUUUACAAAGGAAAUGGUUAAGAACCGUUUUUCCCAGCUCAAUGACUCUUGUGUCCCUUGGCCAGAACAAGGUGUGCAGAGUAGACAGAAUGUGGAAUAGGGAAGAACUUCUCCGAAGAAGAGCCGUGGCUUUGCUGUUGUUGCUUUGAGAGAGUAGUGGGUCAUGUUCCUGGUACCUUGAGAGGAUUGUUUUGGUCUUUCUGUUUCCUUUACCUCAAGCCUAGUGAGGGGGCUUCCAUGGAAUCGCUCAGAAAGCUUCAAAUAUGCUCCUUGCUAUUGGGAGACUUGAGAAAGACUGAUGUCACUGUAGAAACAGCAAAGUAUUGGUGCAUUAAGUUCAUCCUGGACUCCUAGAAUUUAUGGGGACAAGGGAUGCAUGAGUGUUUAUUUUGGAUGAGGUAUAGGCCGUGUAGAAGACAGAGCUGAUGUGGUCAUCUUGGGUUUUAUCCAAAAGAGCCAUCUCAGGGCGAAGAGGCUCCCUAAAGUAAGAAACUAGAAUGAAACACUAGACUUAGGAGCCAUGGAAGAAUUUGCAAAUGAUCACCAAAAAUAAAUGAUACCUCUAACUCAGUGAGAGUUGGAGGGGAAGUAGGAUAUCAACCUAAGAUAGAAGAAAGCUGAAGGAUGUGAGCUAUGGUUUACAACCCAGGCUGAUUAUUGUUAGAAAGAAUCUAUAAUAAGAUGAAACAGACCUAUUAGAAUAUCAACACCAAAAAAGCAAGCACCAUGACUGUUUCACUCAAUAUUGUAUUUUCAGCUUGCGUAGUGCCUAGCAUCGAG